GUUUAUGGCCAUACCAGCCUGAACAUGCCCAAUCUUACCUGAUUUCGGAAGCUAGGCAGGGUAAGGCGUGGUAGGCUUUAAAAA
This 84-nucleotide ribosomal RNA is filed under the name Cercocebus atys (sooty mangabey). Lineage: Eukaryota; Metazoa; Chordata; Mammalia; Primates; Cercopithecidae. RNAcentral also lists the same sequence under 1 other name. The record is from RNAcentral.